RNAcentral lists this long non-coding RNA (622 nucleotides) under Notechis scutatus (mainland tiger snake). RNAcentral describes it as "lncRNA (ENSNSUG00000005798.1)". The record is from RNAcentral. Lineage: Eukaryota; Metazoa; Chordata; Lepidosauria; Squamata; Elapidae.
CUACAUUAACCAAGCCUUCUUUGAAACCUCUCCUUUAUUUCACCCACAGAACGAAUGCAGUUCAUCUCCCGAGCUCCUGGGAUCUCUCGCCACCCAUUCUGCUGCAAGAUCAAGGUCUCCUCCAUCUCCACAGAACCCUCCAACUGCAGCUCCUCCUUCCCCUACUUGGAAGAUGAAGGCCGAGAAGGAUGUGCGCCCCAAGAGGAGGGACAGAGAAUUGCCUUCUAUCGAAAAAAUAUCUCUGAGGUCUCCAAGAAGCAAAAAGGCAUCUGGCUGCGAGGCCUUCACCUCCAUCCUGACCUCCGCUGGACCACAGGCCCUCAAUGACACGUAUGACCAGCUGGUCACAUGUUCCCAGUGCAACAUCCUUCUUCCGAGCCCAGUCCUACAGAAGCAUGAGAAAAAGUGUCAGCGGGCAGUUUCUCUACAAGCAAUUCGACGGAGCCCACGAUUUUUGGAAAAAGAAGGAGAAUCCACGCAAACCCCACCAGAAGGAAAUAACGGGCAAUGACCUUUCUCAGCGGCUGAACUGGCCCUUUUCGUUCCAGCAGGAUCGGGUUCAGUAAAACGCCUUGCCAUACCCUGAUCUGCCUUUUUAAGAAUAAAAGAGCUACAGUUCACA